UAGUCCACGCCGUAAACGAUGAUCACUGGUUGUGUGCGAUACACAGUGCGCGACUGAGGGAAACCAUUAAGUGAUCCACCUGGGGAGUACGUUGGCAACAAUGAAACUCAAAGGAAUUGACGGGGGGUCCGCACAAGCGGAGGAACAUGUGGUUUAAUUCGAUGAUACGCGAGGAACCUUACCUGGGCUUAAAUGUAGAGUGCAUUAAUUGGAAACAGUUGUUUUCUCGGAACUCUUUACAAGGUGCUGCAUGGUUGUCGUCAGCUCGUGCCGUGAGGUGUCGGGUUAAGUCCCAUAACGAGCGCAACCCCUAUCGUUAGUUGCUAGCAGGUAAUGCUGAGGACUCUAGCGAAACUGCCGGUGUAAACCGAGAGGAAGGUGGGGAUGACGUCAAAUCAGCACGGGCCCUUAUGUCCAGGGGCUACACACGUGUUACAAUGGUCGAUACAAUGGGGCAGCUACCUGGGUAACAGGGAUGCUAAUCU
Molecule: ribosomal RNA, 485 nt
Filed under: uncultured bacterium
Lineage: Bacteria
Description: bacterial SSU rRNA
Rfam family: Bacterial small subunit ribosomal RNA
Source: RNAcentral